AUUUAGGAUCUGUGGUGCCCCAAAAUUUUAAUUUGGGAUCUGUGCCCUAAAAUUUGAUUUUGGGAGCUGUGGUGCCCCAAAAUAUACUACGGACAGACGGACGCCAAAGUGAAACUAUAAGGCUUUCGGCCAUGGGCCACGAAACCCUAAAAAUGGCAAUCAAAGAAAAUCAAAAAUUGGCAAAAAUCAAAAUUGAUAAAAAAGGUAAAUGAAAGAAAAAAGAAAGAGUGGCUGCGGAGUGGAGGUCUUUUUUCUAUCAUUUAUCUUUUUUGAUUCACAAACAAAAACAUUAGGUAAAAUGUCCAUUCGAUAAUGUCCACUAUUAAGACAUGAACUAUUAGAGACAUGUCAACUAUAGGGACAUGUCAACUACUGGGACAUGCCCCUAUAGAGACAUGUCAACUAUUGGGACAUGUCAAUUACUGAGACAGGUCAACUACUGGGACAUGUCAACUAUUGGGGUUUGUACUACGGACAGACGGACGCCAAAGUGAAACUAUAAGGCUUUCGGCCAUGGGCCACGAAACCCUAAAAAUGGCAAUCAAAGAAAAUCAAAAAUUGGCAAAAAUCAAAAUUGAUAAAAAAGGUAAAUGAAAGAAAAAAGAAAGAGUGGCUGCGGAGUGGAGGUCUUUUUUCUAUCAUUUAUCUUUUUUGAUUCACAAACAAAAACAUUAGGUAAAAUGUCCAUUCGAUAAUGUCCACUAUUAAGACAUGAACUAUUAGAGACAUGUCAACUAUAGGGACAUGUCAACUACUGGGACAUGCCCCUAUAGAGACAUGUCAACUAUUGGGACAUGUCAAUUACUGAGACAGGUCAACUACUGGGACAUGUCAACUAUUGGGGUUUGUACUACGGACAGACGGACGCCAAAGUGAAACUAUAAGGCUUUCGGCCAUGGGCCACGAAACCCUAAAAAUC
This is a long non-coding RNA of Leptopilina boulardi, 919 nucleotides long. RefSeq lists it as uncharacterized. Lineage: Eukaryota; Metazoa; Arthropoda; Insecta; Hymenoptera; Figitidae. The transcript is spliced from 3 exons. The record is from RefSeq and is a predicted model, not a curated record.